Molecule: ribosomal RNA, 466 nt
Filed under: uncultured bacterium
Lineage: Bacteria
Description: partial 16S ribosomal RNA
Rfam family: Bacterial small subunit ribosomal RNA
Source: RNAcentral
CCAGACUCCUACGGGAGGCAGCAGUGAGGAAUAUUGGUCAAUGGGAGAGAUCCUGAACCAGCCAAGCCGCGUGAGGGAAGACGGCCCUAUGGGUUGUAAACCUCUUUUGUCGGAGAACAAAACCCGGGACGUGUCCCGGACUGCGUGUAUCCGAAGAAAAAGCAUCGGCUAACUCCGUGCCAGCAGCCGCGGUAAUACGGAGGAUGCGAGCGUUAUCCGGAUUUAUUGGGUUUAAAGGGUGCGUAGGCGGUCCGUUAAGUCCGCGGUAAAAUUGCGGGGCUCAACCCUGGCGAGCCGUUGAAACUGGCAGACUUGAGUUGGCGAGAAGUACGCGGAAUGCGCGGUGUAGCGGUGAAAUGCUUAGAUAUCACGAAGAACUCCGAUUGCGAAGGCAGCUCACUGGACUGCAACUGACACUGAGGCUCGAAAGUGUGGGUAUCAAACAGGAUUAGAUACCCGUGUACAU